This 74-nucleotide transfer RNA is filed under the name methanotrophic endosymbiont of Bathymodiolus azoricus (Menez Gwen). The record is from RNAcentral.
GCAUCGGUGAUGUAAUGGUUAGCGUGUUCGCCUCGGGUGCGGUAGAUCGUGGGUUCGAGUCCGAGUCCAGAUCA